RNAcentral lists this ribosomal RNA (243 nucleotides) under uncultured Actinomycetales bacterium. RNAcentral describes it as "partial 16S ribosomal RNA". It matches the Rfam family "Bacterial small subunit ribosomal RNA", at positions 88 to 334 of the family's 1533-position model. The record is from RNAcentral. Lineage: Bacteria; Bacillati; Actinomycetota; Actinomycetes; Actinomycetales.
UACUCGAGUGGCAAACGGGUGAGUAACACGUGGGUGAUCUGCCCUGCACUUCGGGAUAAGCUUGGGAAACUGGGUCUAAUACCGGAUAGGAACCAUCUUUAGUGUGGUGGUUGGAAAGUUUUUUCGGUGUAGGAUGAGCUCGCGGCCUAUCAGCUUGUUGGUGGGGUAAUGGCCUACCAAGGCGGCGACGGGUAGCCGGCCUGAGAGGGUGUACGGCCACAUUGGGACUGAGAUACGGCCCAG